GUAGGGUGCAAGCGUUAUCCGGAUUUACUGGGUGUAAAGGGCGAGUAGACGGCGUUGCAAGUCAGAUGUGAAAACCUAGGGCUCAACCGUAGGACUGCAUCUGAAACUGUAAUGCUAGAGUGCAGGAGAGGUAAGCGGAAUUCCUAGUGUAGCGGUGAAAUGCGUAGAUAUUAGGAGGAACACCAGUGGCGAAGGCGGCUUACUGGACUGUAACUGACGUUGAGGAGCGAAAGUGUGGGGAGCAAA
Molecule: ribosomal RNA, 246 nt
Filed under: uncultured bacterium
Lineage: Bacteria
Description: partial 16S ribosomal RNA
Rfam family: Bacterial small subunit ribosomal RNA
Source: RNAcentral